Podarcis lilfordi (Lilford's wall lizard) is the source of this 2009-nucleotide non-coding RNA. The record is from the annotation of a GenBank genome assembly. Lineage: Eukaryota; Metazoa; Chordata; Lepidosauria; Squamata; Lacertidae.
AAAUCUCAGGGGGACUCUCACAGAUUAUCUCCUAAUAUAUUUUUUAUUUGAUCUUUGAGGAUCAAUAUUAUUUUGAUCUGUUGUGGUGGCGCCCCUAAAAGGUGUGGGGCCCAUAAACUGGUGCUUCCACUGCCUAUUUGGUAAUCUAAAUAGGUAUACAUGAAAAAUCACAAAAUUUGUGAUUGACAGAAGGCCAGCCAAUCAGUGCUGCAUGCAGCUGCUUAUAAACUGGAAAACACAUUUCCCCUUGAAGUCGGUCUCUGUCAGUCAUGUAAACAGAAGCGUAAGAGGAGCUGGUCAGGCAAAAGCUUGCUGGGGGGGGUGCACGCUUACAGGGGUAGUCCUCUAGUUGUUAGGCUCCAGCUCCCAUCAGCCCCAGCCAACAUGACCAAUGGCCAGGUAUGGUGGGGGUUGUAGUCCAACCACAGCUGGAGAGACCAUGUUGACCACCCUUGUGCUAUUAUAUGAGCCAUCUCUCUGGUUUCCUUGACACACCAGUGUUAGCCAGGCCUCAGUCCAUUCCAUUUAAGAAUAGGUCCAAGGGAGCUUAUGUCGCUUUCAUCUCCUGGUCUUUCAACAUUGAAGAUAAGGUUAUCACUGUUCAUUAGCCAUGAUGGCUCUGCUCUGCUGCCAAGGCAGCAGUGCUUCUGAAUACCAGUUGCUAGAACCCAGUGGCGUGCGGUGAAUUUUUUCAUAGGGGAACAGUUAGAGCCAUCUAGUUUAACUGCCUGCAAGGCAGGAAUCUCCACUCAAGCUUCCCUGACAGAUGCCUAAAAAAUCUCCCAAGGAAGUCCAUUCCCCGGCCAGUCAAUUUGCCAGGUCCUAGCAGCUUGCAAAGUUUGGCUCUGCUCUUUUUUUUAAAAAAAUGCCCCAGGCAAAAGGGUGGAUCCCCCCCCCCACCAGAAAAACCACCAUUUUUAACACACACACACCAUUUCUUCAUCAUCUCCCUUUCUAUGAUUGUGGUGGUGUUGGUUGUUGCAUGUUGCUGCUGAUCCUUCAGGUUCUGGCAGAUUGGGGCUGGGAGGGGGGGUAUUUUAUUAAAACACCACGCUUUCAAACACAUUUGCAUGCGUGUGCACACACACAGUGGCUGAAGGAGAGGAGGGAGGAAGUGAGUUAUGAAGGUUGCAGGGAUCUUGUCUUCCGACCCCACGGGCACUUCAGGCUUUCCAACUGCUCUUCCUUAAAAAAUGAAGGAGAAAGGGCUGCAGUUCUGUUUCAAGUGGCCACUUCCUUCUCAAGUGUGUGUAUUGUUCUGCAACCCUGAGAGAGAGAGAGAGAGGCAUGCACACACAUACAUGGAGCCUGGAGACACUGGCUAAGCAGGUACCCAGAAAGGUAUUGCUGGGAACAUGAAGGGGACUAGGGUACUCCCACCAAUCCAUGGACCACACACUACGGCUAGAACCACGGGGGGGGGGGGCGUUUGUGUGCAGAUCCUGUUUACAGCUUUCCCACCAUGGGCAUCUGGUUGUCCAUUGUGAGAACAGGAUGCUGGACUAGGAGGGCCAAUGGCCUGAGCCACCAGGCUCUUCAUAUUCAUGCAGGGCAGUUGAUUUGCUUCUCAGGUUUCCCUGUGCCACUUAAACUUUUUUUUCUUUUUUAAAGGCAACAUCCCCAACUUGCAGAUCUGGAAGUAAUGAGUGUGUUGGGACUUAGGUGAUAUUGAGAUUAGGGAAUUUUUAGUUUAUGUUUCUAGCUAUGCACUUAAUUGUGUCCCUGCCAAAGGGGAAACUGUCCUACUUUGUCCUUAAGUAUAAAAAUUAGAUGAGAUCAAGUCAAGGUGGGGGCUCCAUUAAACCGCUGGGAUGUUCUGUUUCUCGUUUGCUGAAGCCUAUUUUGAACCGACUCUUCAAAUCAGGUUAAUUGACUGACCUGUUGCUUCAACCCACUUUUCCCAAAGCUUUCUAGCACUGGCUUCUUCAUAACCAGGCAGCAAAUUAAACAAAAAAAUAACACACACACAUACCUACAACCAAGAAGAAGGGGCUCUUUUGAAAACCUGU